This 251-nucleotide ribosomal RNA is filed under the name uncultured prokaryote. RNAcentral's name for it is "partial 16S ribosomal RNA". It matches the Rfam family "Bacterial small subunit ribosomal RNA", at positions 525 to 775 of the family's 1533-position model. The record is from RNAcentral.
ACAGAGGGUGCGAGCGUUAAUCGGAAUUAUUGGGCGUAAAGGGCACGUAGGCGGUCUUUUAAGCUAGAUGUGAAAGCCCUUGGCUCAACCAAGGAAUUGCAUCUAGAACUGAAAGGCUAGAGAAAGGUAGAGGUGAGUGGAAUUUCCAGAGUAGCGGUGAAAUGCGUAGAUACCCGGAGGAACACCAGUGGCGAAGGCGACACACUGGGCCUUUCCUGACGCUCAGACGCGAAAGCAUGGGGAGCGAACAG